GCUUCGGGUGCGGCCCCUGUCUAAGUGCCCUGGAACGGGCCGUCAGAGAGGGUGAGAAUCCCGUCUGGGAUGGGGUGUCCGCGCCCGUGUGAAGCUCCUUCGACGAGUCGAGUUGUUUGGGAAUGCAGCUCUAAAUGGGUGGUAAAUUUCAUCUAAAGCUAAAUACUGGCCGGAGACCGAUAGCGCACAAGUAGAGUGAUCGAAAGAUGAAAAGCACUUUGAAAAGAGAGUUAAAAAGCACGUGAAAUUGUUGAAAGGGAAGCGCUUGCGACCAGACUCGCCUCCAGGGUUCAGCCGGCAUUCGUGCCGGUGUACUUCCCUGGGGGCGGGCCAGCGUCGGUUUGGGCGGCCGGUCAAAGGCUCCCGGAAUGUAGUGCCCUCCGGGGCACCUUAUAGCCGGGAGUGCAAUGCGGCCAGCCUGGACCGAGGAACGCGCUUCGGCACGGACGCUGGCAUAAUGGUCGUAAACGACCCGUCUUGAAACACGGACCAAGGAGUCUAACAUCUACGCGAGUGUUCGGGUGUCAAACCCGUACGCGCAGUGAAAGCGAACGGAGGUGGGAGCCCCCUCGUGGGGCGCACCAUCGACCGAUCCUGAUGUCUUCGGAUGGAUUUGAGUAAGAGCGUAAAUGUGGGGACCCGAAAGAUGGUGAACUAUGCCUGAAUAGGGCGAA
This 674-nucleotide ribosomal RNA is filed under the name Aspergillus flavus var. flavus. RNAcentral describes it as "LSU rRNA". It matches the Rfam family "Eukaryotic large subunit ribosomal RNA", at positions 161 to 850 of the family's 3401-position model. Lineage: Eukaryota; Fungi; Ascomycota; Eurotiomycetes; Eurotiales; Aspergillaceae. The record is from RNAcentral.